AGCUACUGAGGCUUCAGUUUUAUUCGCUAGCUUGGUCUCUAGUAAGCCAUGGCCCCCACCGCGAUGGCCGCCGCCACCUCCGUCGCUCCAUUCCAGGGGCUCAAGUCCACCGCCAGACUCCCCGUCAGCCGCCGCUCCAGCAGCUCCGGCUUCGGCAACGUCAGCAACGGCGGAAGGAUCAGGUGCAUGCAGGUAACAAUCGAUCGAUCUUUUUUUUAAGACGCGCAAUAGCAUGUUUUUCGUUAAGUAGAGAGAAACAGAGUACAUACAGAGCAUGCACGACCGAAUAAACAGCUCGACAAUCGAUCUGAGUUAAAUGCAACUGAGUAGUAGGAAGUCAGGAACUGAUGCAUGGGUAUUGUUAAUUGCUCAGGUGUGGCCGGCGGAGGGCAACAAGAAGUUCGAGACCCUCUCCUACCUGCCACCUCUCUCCACGGACGAGGUCCUAAAGCAGAUCGACUACCUGAUCCGGAAGAACUGGAUUCCCUGCCUCGAGUUCAGCAAGAUCGGGUUCGUCUAUCGUGAGAACAGCACGUCUCCCUGUUACUACGACGGGCGCUACUGGACCAUGUGGAAGCUGCCCAUGUUCGGCUGCACCGAGGCCACCCAGGUGUACGCUGAGUUCGAGGAGUGCAAGAAGGCCUACCCCGACUGUUACAUCCGUAUCAUCGGCUUCGACAACAUCAAGCAGGUGCAGUGCGUCAUGUUCAUCGCCUACAAGCCCCCAGGCUCCGAGUAAGACCGGCGGCGCCAAAUAAGCUUAUCGCGCGGACCGCUCGCUCGUGAGCGACCGUGGAUGAAGUGUCUACUCGGUUUUGGCAACUUAAUUAUUUGACGCUCUGUUUAAAGUCGCCUGCUUGUUAAUUCCCUUUCUUUUCGUGUUUCCGUCCUGUGUGUAUGUACGAAUGUACAUGUAUCAACGUAGGCUGAGGAGCAUGCAUAUGUGAAUGCUAGCGCCGGCUAAACUUAUACGCAUACACAUCGUAAUAUAUUGUAUACGCAAUUCCUCCACUGCCUCAUCUUCUUGACGUAUAAUUAUAUAUCUAUGUACUAUCGGCUUGUUUGGUUGGAUGUAAUUGGUGGGUGGGAAAAAGAGUUUAGAUGCGAGAGAUUAAAAUUCUAUUAUUUGUUUAGUGGGCCUGGAAGUUUUAAUGGGACGAGAAAUGCCCACCAAUCAAUUCCCAUGGGGAGGGUGAGAAUUUGUUUUUUAAAAAGUAGAAGAUAAAUGCAUUUACAUUAUUAAUCAUGACUUAAUAUAUAACUAGCAAAAUGCCCGUGCAUUGCUAUGGUAAAAUAAUGCUAAUUGUAUUUUUAAAAACUUGUGGAUUUUUUCUGUUUCUACCACUAUAUGUUUAUUGCAUUUAGUGGAUCUAUACAUACAUCCUUAUACUCAAAAAAUCAUAUAUCCUUAUACUCAAAUAAUCAUUCAUUUCUAUCUUUUUAAUUUAUACAAGAGAUUUUCUAAGAUAAAAAAAUAGAUACAACGAUAUUGCACCCUACAAUGUAAGCAUAACUCUAAUUGUUUGUACCCUCUUAUCCGAAUUGAUGAAUACUAUAUUUCAUAUGGUCGAGCCUAGCUAACACCUGCUAGCUGAGUGUAACGUACACGUGUUAGCAGGCGUGAACACGUUCUAUUCAUUUCAAUCCAAAUGAUCCUUAAAGUUUGAAAACUAAACAUGUAGCAAAAAAAAUUUAAAAACAAUUAGCAUCAUGUGUGGAUGCAUGCACAAAAUUUGUGAGUCAAGAUUUUUUUUUAUACCAAGGAAAUAAAGGAACGUUACAUAUGACAGAUUUUAGUAAUUUGCUAAAUUAUUUGUAAUGCUCAAACAUUCAAAUAAAAAAUGUGCACCUACCACACAAGGGGAAUUUUCACCUCUAAACCCCCACGCCAAACAAAGGAUAUAAAGUCUCACUUAAACUCCCUGUUAAUUUCCUCCAAAAGACAAACAAGGGAAUGAGUAUUCCCAAGUGAAUCCCCUCCACCAGCUCUUACCACAAGUUCACAUGCCCCAUCCCAUUCAUUGCCAAUAGUACCCUAUAUGUAUUAUUGAUCGUAUCGAAUAUAUUUAUGGCUUUUGCAAAUUCGUUAGUUUUCAUGAUUCAUCAUAUCUUACCAAUGGGAUUCUUAAAAAGAAAAAAAUCUCUCUCUCUAUACAUUUUGUGCCUAGCUUUAAUUUCCACACCUUUGGUGCAAGGAAAAAUUGACACACGUUUUUGAAUUGAACUGGAGGAUAACUCGCCUUGUUUACACUCAUCUUUGAUGGACGCCUCGUCGACAUAGUUUGUGAGUUGUGACGUUCAUUCCAACAUGUGCAGUUUUGACAACAGCUAAAGCUAAAGAUUACCGACCGAGUAUGCCUAUGCAUGUACCACGGUGGCAUUGCUGACGUUCUUGUGUCUGUUGUAGUGCACACGUACAGUACAUAAAUGUGCAGCAACCUGCUAGAUCCUAGAGUGUGCUUCCCAGAUUCUUGUUCUGGUCCAGCAGGGAAAGGGGUUUUUCCGCAAUGUGUGUCCACCAUUCAGGGUUAGAGUGUUCCUAAUUUAGACCACAAGUGUCCAGGAUUUAAGGAUAGGUUCACAAAACUAGACCACAAGUGUCCCAGCUACAGGAUUAGGUUUGGGAUCAACUUGCAUUGUGCCGAGCAAGCGGCACACACUUUACUCAGCAUAAUAAUGACGUAGCUAGUGCAGUACAAUUAUAUGACGUUUUAGGUGUGGAAAUAUCCGGAUUGUAACAGGCUUAAUCUUGUUUAGACUAAGCAUGUCAUCGUGAGCAUCAUUAAGCAUUAAUCAUGGUUGCAAAUAAACAAAACUUGCCUCGGUCAAGCACGACCCAGCAACUCCUUUGCCAUGUCACCACGAACAGUCCACCCCUCACUCGUAGACGGUCCGCUAGCACACCUCGGUACGUGUCGCGCGUGCAUAACUUUUGCGCCACGUCACCCACACGGACCCACUCGUCAGCCCACAUCCCUCCUCGCACAGAGCACCUUGCAGUCCAUCCUAUUCACUUCCUCUCUCUCUCAACCCAAGCCAUGGAGGAGCCCCCAAGGUCCCUCCACCAUUGAAGCCUUCACCUCACCGGAGCUUCGCUGGAGGAUUGCCGGAGCUCGACGUUGAUGCCCUGCACCACCUCGACCUCAGCUUCUUCCUUGGGCUCGGAGUUGAAGUUUCCUCAAGAUCUUCUUCCUCCAUCCCCAAGACCUUCCCCAAGAUUCAAGUGAAGGACGACCCAGAGCUUCUCCAACGCCACCCUACACCAACCUGUGGCACCUCACCGGAGUCCUACACAUCGCCGAUGAACCAUCUCCAUCCCCGAUCCGUUCCCCAUUGCCCUAUGUUGUGAAUCCAUGGAACCCUUUAGAGCCAAAUCACCAUUAAUGACCUAGAGCUUUGAAUCCUUAAUGCGUGUCAAAUCUAUCUCCCUAGAUGAACUCUAGACACUUCCGGGAACCCAAAGAAACAAACCGCACCCCAAACCGAUGCUAGAGUUGUCGCCGAGCCACGAGGGCGGUGCGGACAGUCCGUCGUUUGCACACCAAAAAACAACAGAACCUUUACAUUUCUACUUCUUGAGCACUUUUUGUACUACGGAUGGUUCGCAUAUGAUGGCCGGACAGUCCGCCGUUCAACCACACAACCAAUCGAGCCUCUGCACAUCUUUUCAUCCUGUGUUGAUUUUGUACUGCUGACGGUCCACCAUUGUGGGGUGGACGGUCCGCCAUUCAAGUUAGAAAACCAUCCCGAAUCUGUCUACCUUUGCCAAAACGGUCCGCACUUGAUCGGCGGACAGUCCGCAUAACAGUCCGCCAUUCAAAAUGGACGGUCCACCUUUCCGAAGUCGGAUGGUCCGCUAUAAUACCUGCCAUUUUUAGUCAUCAAAGUGACUCUGAAGAAAUGGAAGCAAUUUAUGAAUAAAAGAAGAAGAAAUUGGCCAAAAAUCAAAUUCGGGUCAAAUUUGAUCGAAAUUUGAAUUUUGAAUUUGAAAUUCAGAAAAAUUUGGCAAAAAUAUGGAAUGGAGGUGUAAGGAUGAUUAGAACUUAAAGAUCAAGAUUUGGGACAAGAUUUGGUUCUAAAUACCUCAAGAAAAUCAAAGAGAGAAAUUGAAAAUCAAAGUUACUGUUCCCUGUCCGACAACAGGAAUUUCAGAAAAACAGCACAAAGCUCAUUUUUGGAAAUUAGAUUCUCUUGAAUUUUUCAAAUAAAUGGAUCCAAACAACUAUACCAUAUUAAAGUGUGGACUUUGGAAAAGAAUCUUCAAGUGUUGUUGAUCAGGAAUAGUAGAGGGAACCAUUUCAAAUGGAAGCUCAAAGUCGGCACCUUGUCACGGUAAACUGCACCUCUGAAAUUAUCUAAGUCUGAAACAGCACUACAUGGCCAAGUUUGGAGCCGAUUUCAGAAAAAUGUAGAACAAAAGGUGCAAGUGUUUAUGGGCAAAAUGGAAACUUUGAAGGUUGUAGAACACAAUUGGGAAGAAGUUGGACAGAGAGGAAGGGAUUUAGAUCACUGAAACCAUUUUUAAAGUCAGGUAAGUGACUCUGUUCAAGACUGACGAACUGAACUUUGAAUUUAAGUGAUUCAGUUACAGAAGAAAGGGAAUUCGAAUUCCACUGUGCUAGGAUGUUUAUCCCGGGUAGAAACUUAAAUAAAAGUUGAAGGACUCAAGUUUAUCUACAACUUUGUUUAAGUGACUUGUGAACCGUUGGAUUUGGAAUCGGCCGUGGUGGAGCUCUGAAUAUCGGGCGUCAGAAAAUAAGAAAGGGAAGGGGCGACACAGCAGGCAGGACGUGUCGCCAGGACGUGUCGCUGCCGGUGCGUCUGCCGCUGUCCAGCUCAAGAUAGCUAGGUCACCUCCUUACCACGCAAGCCUACGAGUAGACCACGGUGGCAACCAUGGGCGCGGUGAAAACCUUGAAUAACUACCGCUCCCGCGCCGCCCGUUUUACCGCUGCUCUUUUUCACCGCCGCCGCUCCACUGUCCAAGCCGCCACCGCCGGGUAAAAUUCCCCCACCACACCGCCACUCUCGUCGAUUCCCUCCGUCUACAUCUCCAUACAUACCCCACCAACAACCCUAGCCACUUGUUGCCCAGCUUCUCCGGCGGCGUGCCAGAAACCGCCGUAGUUUCCGUCCGUCGUCACCGCACCUCUUGCUCACGGUGAGCACCUCCUUGCGCUUGCUCUCUUUCUUCUUGGGUAGUCAUAGGCGGGUCCUUGGGGUGCUAGGAGGCUGUAGAGGGAGUCAUCGGGGUGGGUUGCGCUGUCGUCGUGCUUGACCACGACCGGCCGUAGGUGCCGCCGCCCGCCGCCAUGGAGGGAGUGGCUCCGGCCAUCUCCCGAGGAGCUAUCGCCGUGCACGGGUGAGUUAGGCUAUGGGGAUGCUUUCCCGACCUAGCCCCGUCGCCGGUAGGGCGCCGGCCGGCGAGCCGCGCCGCCCCCUGUCGCGCCGGUUUUGGCAAGAGGAAGAAGAAGGCGCUGGAGUCGCGGGCCCGCGCGUCAGUGAGGAAAAGGAGAGAAGGGAGAAAGGCAGGCCGGGCGCGGGCGUCAGUGGGCCAGCGUUCCGGCGGCCCAAGGAGCCGGUGUUGGUCAGCCGUUGAAGAAAAAGGCCGGAGGCCCAGAGAUCCAGCAGGCCGGCGUUGCGAGAGAAAGAGGAAAAGAAAGAUGAGCCGUUGGGCCGUCACUGGUAUAAAGAGAAGGGGUGGAGAGAAGAAUCGGCCCAGGAGGGCCCGGCCGGGGAGGAGUAGGCCGGCGGGUAGGAUGAAUAGGAAAAGGGUGGGUCCGCGCCGCGGGCCCAGUGCAAGAGAGAGGGGGUAGAAGAAGGUCGCGUGAGAAAAGUUGAAGGUCGCGUGAGAAAAGUUGCCGGGGGUGUUUUUCGGGAAAAAUUAGAUUUCCUUUAUAGAAUAAUUAGUUUAAAUCCGAAUCUCACCAUUUAAAUCACAGAAAUUUUCUAGGAGAGUCCAAAAUUAGUGAAACCAAUUUUGUUAGGCUUGUUUUAUUUUCCUUUAUGCAUUAAAAUUUUUAUACCCUAGAAAAAUAAUAAAAAUUUGAGCAUUUAUUGAAUGCCUUUCUUUUAAGGUAUUUAAAUAAAUUCUUAAUCUUUAUUAAAUGCAUAAAAUAUGGAAUAAUAUUUUCAUAACUAAAAAUUAUUAUUAAUUCAUAGGAAAUUAGGUUUUAAAGCUAGAAAAUAAUUAUAACAUUUUCUAAAAAUGAAAGAAAAGGCCUUAAGUAAGGAUAAUUAGGGAAAUAAAAAUUGUGGGCUAAUCUUUUCGGGUUUUUGUGUGUUGGCUUGCAACUUUAUCAUGAUAAAUUGUAUAGUCCUUGUUGGCUUGCAACUUUAUCAUGAAGGAAAGUUGUACAAUCUUGUAUUCAAAAAGUUGCAUUCCUAACCCCUGCAUAUGUUGUGUUAUAGAAAUCGAAGCACUAGAAGGAGAUUACUCAGAAUAUUCAGAAGGAUCUCCGGAGUUUGAGGAAGUCUUUGAAUUGGUCCCAUGCGAAGCCAAUCCUUCGGACAGUGGUAACCUUUUUAGCGAACAAGGCCAGCCCCGGUGCAUUAUACCUAUUAUUUUGGAGUCAAUAUUUCACGUGUCCAUUAUUUAGCUAUUUGCUAUAUGUAUGCACUAAGUUUAGGAGUUGCUUGAAACCCAUUCUUGUGCAUUAUCAUACCUUGUUUUAAGGAUAUCUUUGCCACUUGUUCAAACCUUUAGUAGAUAACCCAAGUCUAGAAUUGCUUAGUUGCUUAAAUGCUUGGUUUAAGGUAAAUCUUGAGUCAUACAUGUUAUUUAUGGAAAGAUGACUUGGAAAUUGAGAAGCGGACAGAAGCUAAGGAUGUAGUUCUGUCUGCUAGAUUAAUUUGGUUGAGGCACGAUUCGUUGUCUUAACCUUUGAUCAAGUGAUAAUUAUCUGAUCACUUACUGGGUAUGGGACCAGUAAAGCCCAGUAGGUUAGUAAACUCUUUGAUCGGGAAUACUUCGUACCCGUGCUUGACGUGCUGGAGAUUGGCAGGGGCGUAGCCUAAAACUCACAUGGUGAGCGGGCCAGACGUGGGGUCCCAUGUGGGGGUGCGUCCCUGGGUCCGGGUAGUCUUAUUCCCAAUCAUUGGUUUUGCUAAUCGAAAAGUCGUUACGUACGACCUGGACAGUCGUAUAUAGCUGGUGAUCAGGGUACUCUCCUGCAGGAUGUAAUAUGAUCCGGAUCGCCGCAAUUCUCGGUUAUGAAUGCACUUGAUCACCGUUGAGCAUUGUAGCAUAAUUUCAUGAAUGUCAUAUCUUUCUGAUAAUGAUUGGUGUAUGACUUUAAUACCUUGUUGUCGCAAUUAAUCUUUUCUCAUCAUCUAGAAUGGUUAGGUAAAAACAUAACCCAAGUAAAAGAUAAAACUAAGGUCUCACUUGUAGUAAGCUCUUUGGCAAAAAUGUAUCAGCCAAGUACACCGAAAAAGCUAUCAUGUGCUUCCAAGAAAAACUAUUAUAUUGGUUAGUCGGGUAAGACUUGCUGAGUACUCCAUACUCAGAGUUAUCCCUUGUGGCUAUCUUUUCAGAAGCACCGCAGGAGUCCACUGAGGAGGAAGCCCCAAAACCCUAGGGUAUUGUUAUGAGUCUCACAAUACCCUUAGAAGAAGUCUCAUAAUGCUCAUCUCCAUCCGAACCGUUUAUGUUUUAAGUCCUAGAACUCUGUCUAACACUGCACUGUUAAGUUUGCUUCAAACUAUAUCUUGUAUUAACUCGUACCUCUUGUAUGUAUGUAAAAAUGUAAUAUUUGUUGAUGCUAUCCCAUCGCGGAUACAAUCAUGAUGUAUGGCUAUGAGACACGACGUGGAUCUUUCGAGGAGUCCUAGGGACACUCGACGGACGACCGGACUUAUACUGUUUUAAGUGCGUUUCGGAUAAUUGCUGCGUCGGCAGCAAUUAGGCGCAUUUAAACCAGUUUAAGUUGGAUGGUUCCGCCACAGCUGGUAUCAGAGCCGUAGGUUGGGAUAACCAACAGAUAUUACCAUUUAAAAUACUGAGACUCUAUUUUAAAAUAAAGAAAACAUGAGUCAUAGGUGGCAGUAGUGUUAACUGGUUGUUUGUUUUGCAGAUGCUAACUGUUUGCUGCGUGUCGCUAGUAUUCAGUAGUAUAUUAUUAGGGAGAGAUUACGAUGCCACCAAUUUCUGUACGAGUGAGUAUAUGAGUCUGUGAGUACGUAGGAGUCGUUGCAUCAUGUUGCAUAAGCAUGUUUUAAAAACUUUUGGGUUUGGUGAGUGCCGUUAGACCUAACCUCGUUUCUUUUAUAGGAUGUUUCAAGAAGGCUACACCGACCAGGACGGAUGGACCCGAGGGCAUUACCUGGAUAAGCCAGGGUUUGUGCAGCUGCUAUGGAAAACGCUGCAGGAAUUAGGUUUCCAUAACCCUCCAGAGUAUUAUUGGAGGAAGGAGGACACGUGUCACAAGCAGUGCUGCACUGUUUAUGUGCACAUUCCAGAUGAAGACACCAACCCCAAUUGGCGUCUAGAAGAAGUGAUGGAGUCGGGCUUCGAGUUCAACGACACAAUUGAAAGGGCGGCUAUGACUGCUCUCACAGACCUAUGUGAGAAGCACAAGGUAGAGAUAGGGUCGAGCUCUGCUUGAUUUUAUCCUAUAAAGCAUCAAGAUGAUGGAAUCUGGAAGAGAAGGAUUAAAGCCCUGAAGAACUCUUCUCGUGUAGAGCAUGACAUCUUGGUUGUUGCUGCCUCCGACUACAUGAUGGCCAUGUACAACUUGCACCAGUCUUGCAUCAGAGAGUAUUAUAAUCAGAGGAAGAAAAAUGAAGAUGCCAAGAUGGAGUUAAUGGGUGCCAGACACGAUAAGGAGUUGUACAAGAAGGCGGCAUUAGCAAGGGAACACGACAUGGAGAAAAUCAUGAGAGAGUAGUCCAGAAGAAUAGAUGAAUAUGAAGAGAAACUCAGGGUAAUGCAAGGAUUCAUAGAGGCCAGUAGGAGUAUGGCAGAUAGGGCAAGAGAAGAAGCCGAAUCCAAUGUUAAUAGGCUCGAGGCAGAAAGAUUCCAGCAGCUGGACGAAAUCUUAUCUCUUCGUCUGGCUUUGGAGGAAAUGUAGGCCCAGGUACCUGCGCAGAACAUAGUCAAUGUUCCACCGCCUCCACCACCAGAAGAACCCCAGCCACCGAACCCAGAAGAAGCAGAUCAAUUAGUGGAUGUUGUAGGAGUGGAGGGUGAUAUUGCUCCACCUGCAGCUCCCGAGAUUGACCUAUACGCUCACGAGAACUUAGAAGGGUUUGAUGUUGACAUGGAAGAUGAUCAGGGUGAAGCUCCCAUGGGAAACCAACAAUUUGCCUGGGCCAAUGCAAAUGCCGAUGGGUUAGAUCCACAAGGCUAUAGACCAAUGCAGCAGUAGGGUGAAGCGGAGCAGGAAGACGGGGAAGAAGAAGAAGACCCCGAAGAAAUGGAGGGAAAUUCCGGAGUUAGUACCUCUGCAUCCUAUACUUCCUAUACUUCAGGUGACCCCGGGCCAGAGUCAGAAAGUGAGAACUCAGUAAAUCAGGCCCCACCUGUCGCUCCUCCGGGACAGACGCUGAUGACAGUGGACCAAGAUAUUCUGCAGGCAGCGAUGGCCCGGCUAGGACUGAAUGCCGAAGAGCUAGGACUCUACCCUUAUGAUGGUUAAAGCAAGACCUUAACUAAGAGAUGUUGUAAUGUAUUUAUGUAAGAUAAAUGUGAUGGACGGAGUAGCACGGUGGUUUUGUAAAAAGUAACUUCAAGUCAUGUAAUAUAAAUAAAUAUGUAUAUAAGUGUGGUCUGUGAAUGGUCAUGCUGUGAUGUGUGAAAUAUUAGUGUGCAGGGAACUGUUAGCAAAAUGCACCUUAGAUAUUAAUAUUCUGUUUACUUUUGACAGCAUGACGGAUCCAAGAGGUCCAUGAGCUUCAGGGUCAGGGGGCCAUGAGGAGAAUUUACCGAGAGCUCCAACGCUGGCAGAUGCUAUAGCCAGCCUUAUGAGUUCAGGAGCCGAACAGGCUCGACUGCUCCAAAUGAUCGUACAAAACACCGGCAAUGGUGGAAACCGACGAGACCCAGAACAGGGUGUAUCCUACACCCAGUUCUUAGAAACUCGUCCUCCAAUAUUCUUGAAAGCUGAGCAUCCACUUGAAGCUAAUGAAUGGCUUCAGACGAUGGAGCAGAAGUUUCUAGUAAUUCCCCAGUGCACCACCACCCAAAAGGCGGAGUUUGCAGGACUCCAGCUCCAAGGUCCCGCUGGGACCUGGUGGACCAGUUACCUGGCAAGGCAACCGGUUGGAAGGGAAGUUACAUGGGAGAACUUCAAGGAGGCCUUCCGGACACAGUUUGUGCCAGAAGGUAUCAUGCGCAUGAAGCUGGAGCAAUUCCUAGGGCUACAGCAAGGAACCCGCAGCAUUCUGGAAUACACCAAUGAGUUUGAUCACUUAGCCUAGUAUGCAUCGGAACAUGUCAAUACAGAGUCCAGAAAAAGAGAUUGCUAUCUUCGUGGGCUAAAUGCACGAAUGCAGAAGAAGCUGUCCACCUGCACCUUUGCUGACUAUAGUUCUGCGGUAAGCACAGCCAUUACUGCAGAAGAAAAGAUGAGGAUCUUAGAUGAGACUUUAAAGAAAGAAGAAUAUUCCUUUUGGAACCUUCGGUAAUGCCCCACAAAGAAUGAAAGUGGUAUACCAAGGUUCUCCUCGACCCAUGUAUCGGCCUUCGUUUCAGUAGAGGCCCUUUCAGCCCUGGAAUGUUAAAGCUCCUAUUAAUGCUCCUCGUCCUGUAAAUGCACCACCUCUUGGGUUUCGUAACCCUACUCCUCCAGGGAAUCCACAAGUUUGUUUUAAAUGUGGGAAGCCGGGACACUUUGCCCGGGACUGCCGUUUUCCCAAGGUUGGGGGAAAUGCAAAUUUAAGGGCUCAAACCUCUGGUCAAGGCACUAGGCAGAAGUUUGUUCGUCGCAAGUUUGUGAACACCAAGACAGGAUAGGCUCAUUAUAUGAAUGUGGAGGAAAUUCCGGAAGGAGAGCCUAUUCUGGCAGGUAUGUACCUUGUUAACAAUUAUCCUGCCAUGGUUUUAUUUGAUUCGGGUGCAUCACAUACCUUUAUAAGUAGAAAGUUUGUUACACAACACCAGCUAGGAGUGCAUACCUUAAAUGUCAAAUAUGCUAUUCAAGCUACUGGGGCUACUCAGAAUACAAAUCAAGUAGCUCGCAAUGUGAUUUUGAACUUAGAAGGAAAUAAGGUGGGUGCUUAUCCUUUAAUUCUAGAAGAUCAAGGAAUAGAUAUUAUUUUGGGGGUGAAUUGGAUGAAAGAACAUAAAGUUCAAAUCAAUAUGGAUAAUCGGGUCGUUAGUAUGAGAGAUGACCAAGGCCAUUCUUUUGAGCUCCAAUUACCCGCUCAUCCCUGUUUGGACCAGAUGGUCAAAAAGACUAGAGUAGUGACUCUAGAAUCUAUUCCUGUGGUUAAUGAGUUUAUAGAUGUGUUCCCAGAAGAUCUGCCUGGACUACCGCCUGAUAGAGCGGUAGAAUUUACCAUUGAGUUAGAACCGGACACUACUCCUAUCUCAAGAAGACCGUAUCGGAUGCCACCUAAGGAAUUAGCAGAAUUAAAAGUACAACUCGAAGAAUUGUUGGAUAAAGGUUUUGUCCGACCUAGCACUUCACCAUGGGGCUGCCCUGCUCUAUUUGUUAAAAAGAAAGAUGGCACAUUGAGGUUAUGUGUGGAUUACCGCCCUUUGAAUGCGGUAACCAUUACAAACAAGUAUCCGUUGCCACGGAUUGACUUGUUAUUUGAUCAACUAGCUGGAGCCAAGGUCUUUUCAAAAAUCGACCUUCGGUCAGGAUAUCAUCAGAUUAAGAUAAAACCCGAAGACAUACCUAAAACAGCCUUCUCAACCCGAUAUGGAUUGUAUGAGUAUUUAGUUAUGUCUUUCGGACUGACAAAUGCCCCAGUGCAUUUUAUGUACCUCAUGAAUUCGGUAUUCAUGCCAGAAUUAGAUAAAUUUGUGGUCGUCUUUAUAGAUGAUAUCCUUAUCUUUUCUAAAAAUGAAGAGGAACAUGCGCAACACCUGCGUAUUGUUCUAAAUAGACUCCGGGAACACCAGUUGUAUGCCAAGUUCAGUAAAUGUGAAUUCUGGUUAAAGAAAGUUCUAUUCCUUGGGCACAUACUGUCCGAAAAAGGAAUUGAAGUAGAUCCCGGAAAAGUCAAGGACAUAUUGGAUUGGAAAUCACCAACCUCUGUACAUGAAGUAAGAAGUUUCUUGGGAAUGGCCGGCUAUUACCGUAGGUUCAUUCCCAAUUUCUCAAAAAUUUCCAAACCAAUCACAGAGUUAUUAAAGAAAGAAGUGAAAUUUGAGUGGAAACCCGAAUGUGAAGAAUCGUUUCAAACCCUAAUGAAGUUGCUGACUACAGCUCCAGUACUAGCUCAACCCUAUAUAGAGAAGCCCUUUGAUGUGUACUGUGAUGCCUCAGGAACAGGCAUAGGGUGUGUUCUUAUGCAAGAAGGCAGAAUUAUUGCUUAUGCUUCUCGUCAACUGAAGCAUCAUGAAGAGCAUUACCCUACCCAUGAUUUAGAGCUUGUUGCCGUCGUGCAUGCAUUAAAGAUAUGGCGACACUAUCUUUUGGGUAGUGAAUGUCGUAUCUUUACUGACCACAAAAGCUUAAAAUACAUCUUCACUCAAAUGGACUUGAACAUGAGACAAAGACGGUGGUUGGAGCUGAUUAAAGACUAUAAGUUAGAAAUCCAUUAUCACCCUGGUAAGGCUAAUGUGGUGGCCGACGCUUUGAGCAGAAAGGCCCAAUGUCACUGCACUACCAUCCAAUCUAAUCUUAAGACCUUAUGUGAGGAAAUGGAAGAUUUAAGUUUGGAAAUAGUAAAACAAGGUGCCCUCCAGAGCAUUAUUGUAGAAGAUACCCUAAAGGAAAGAAUUAUAACAGCCCAAAAAGAAGAUCCUUGGAUUAAGGUGCUCUAUCAACAGAAGGCAGAAGGGAAGAUUCCCGAACUCAUUCAAGAAGAAGAUGGAGGGUUGUACUUCAAGAAAAGGAUAGUAGUUCCUAAGGAUGAAAGCCUAAGAAAGUUGAUCUUAGAUGAAGCACAUCUGUCUAAGUUCGCUAUUCAUCCCAGAAGCAAUAAAAUGUACCAAGAUUUAAAGCAAAGAUUCUGGUGGGCCAAGAUGAAAAUUGAAAUUGCAAGAUAUGUAGCCGAGUGUGAUACUUGCCGGAGAGUUAAGCCCAUACUACAAAAGUCGGCAGGUUUACUUCAACCUUCAGAAAUCCCUGUCUGGAAAUGGGAGGAUAUUUCCAUGGACUUUAUAGUUGGAUUGCCUACCACUUCAAAAGGAUAUGAUUCCAUAUGGGUUAUUGUCGACCGACUUACUAAGUCAGCCCACUUCAUCCCAGUCAAGACUACCUAUCCAGUGUCGACAUAUGCUAAACUCUACAUAGCCCAGAUCGUAUCGUUGCAUGGAGUACCAAAGACAAUUAUCUCCGAUCGAGGCUCCCAGUUUGUUUCCAGAUUUUGGGAAUAACUACAAAAAGACAUGGGCACUACUUUAAUUAGACGUUCUGCCUAUCAUCCCCAAACUGGAGGACAGACAGAAAGGGUCAACCAAAUCUUGGAAGAUAUGUUAAGAGCAUGUGUCCUUACCUUCUCUAAGCUAUGGGACGAGUGUUUGCCCCUAGCCGAGUUCUCCUAUAAUAAUAGUUAUCAAGCUAGUAUCAAAAUGGCACCUUUUGAAGCUUUAUAUGGUCGAAGAUGCCGAACCCCCUUGAAUUGGUCGGAAGUAGGAGAAAGGACACAUUUAGGAUCAGAUCUGGUUAUGGAAAUCGAGGAAAAGGUCCGGAAAAUUCGUAAACAUUUGGAAGUGGCCCAGUCCCGACAAAAGAGUUGUUCAGACAAAAGGAGACGAUCCUUAGAAUUUCAUACCGGAGAUUUUGUAUACUUGAAGGUAUCCCCGAUGAAAGGAAUACAACGAUUUGGAAUAAAGGGUAAAUUAGCCCCAAGGUAUAUUGGUCCUUAUGAAAUUCUGGAACGAAAGGGUCCAGUGGCAUACAAACUUUCGUUACCAGACCAACUUACUUCUAUACAUGACGUAUUUCAUGUAUCCCAGCUUAAGAAAUGCUUAAGAGUUCCAGAACAGAUUCUAGAAGAUCCAGAAAUUGAGCUCGAACCAGAUCUAACCUAUGAAGAAAGGCCUAUUAAAAUUCUGGAUCAAAAGACAAGAGAUACCCAAACUCGGAGUAUUACGUUUUACAAGGUACAAUGGAAAAAUCAUACUCCGGAUGAAGCUACUUGGGAACAGGCUGAAGACCUAGAGUCUAAAUAUCCUGAGUUAUUUGAAACCGUCAGGACCAGAUGAACAAAAACCACCACCCCACUUUCCUUAUACAGAAAAGAGAAAAUUAGUUAGCCUGACGCAGUUUCCUUUCCAUUCUCAAAGCCGAGGAUUUAACCCCGGGAAUCUCGGGACGAGAUUCUAUUAAGGGGGAGAGGCUGUAAUACCUGCCAUUUUUAGUCAUCAAAGUGACUCUGAAGAAAUGGAAGCAAUUCAUGAAGAAAAGAAGAAGAAAUUGGCCAAAAAUCAAAUUCGGGUCAAAUUUGACCGAAAUUUGAAUUUUGAAUUUGAAAUUCAGAAAAAUUUGGCAAAAAUAUGGAAUGGAGGUGUAAGGAUGAUUAGAACUUAAAGAUCAAGAUUUGGGACAAGAUUUGGUUCUAAAUACCUCAAGAAAAUCAAAGAGAGAAAUUGAAAAUCAAAGUUACUGUUCCCUGUCCGACAACAGGAAUUUCAGAAAAACAGCACAAAGUUCAUUUUUGGAAAUUAGAUUCUGUUGAAUUUUUCAAAUAAAUGGAUCCAAACAACUAUACCAUAUUAAAGUGUGGACUUUGGACAAGAAUCUUCAAGUGUUGUUGAUCAGGAAUAGUAGAGGGAACCAUUUCAAAUGGAAGCUCAAAGUCGGCACCUUGUCACGGUAAACUGGCCAAGUUUGGAGCCGAUUUCAGAAAAAUGUAGAACAAAAGGUGCAAGUGUUUAUGGGCAAAAUGGAAACUUUGAAGGUUGUAGAACACAAUUGGGAAGAAGUUGGACAGAGAGGAAGGGAUUUAGAUCACUAAAACCAUUUUUAAAGUCAGGUAAGUGACUCUAUUCAAGACUGACGAACUGAACUUUGAAUUUAAGUGAUUCAGUUACAGAAGAAAGGGAAUUCGAAUUCCACUGUGCUAGGAUGUUUAUCCCGGGUAGAAACUUAAAAAAAAAGUUGAAGGACUCAAGUUUAUCUACAACUUUGUUUAAGUGACUUGUGAACCGUUGGAUUUGGAAUCGGCCAUGGUGGAGCUCUGAAUAUCGGGCGUCAGAAAAUAAGAAAGGGGAGGGGCGACAGAGCAGGCAGGACGUGUCGCCGCCGGUGCGUCUACCGCUGUCCAGCUCAAGAUAGCUAGGCCACCUCCUUACCAGGCAAGCCUACGAGUAGACCACGGUGGCAACCAUGCGCGCGGUGAAAACCUUGAAUAACUACCGCUGCCGCGCCACCCGUUUUACCGCUGCUCUUUUUCACCGCCGCCGCUCCCCUGUCCAAGCCGCCGCCGCCGGGUAAAAUUCCCCCGCCACACCGCCGCUCUCGUCGAUUCCCUCCGUCUACAUCUCCAUACAUACCCCACCAACAACCCUAGCCACUUGUUGCCCAGCUUCUCCGCCGGCGUGCCAGAAACCGCCGUAGGUUCCGUCCGCCGUCGCUGCACCUCCUGCUCACGGUGAGCACCUCUUUGCGCUUGCUCUCUUUCUUCUUGGGUAGUCAUAGGUGGGUCCUUGGGGUGCUAGGAGGCUGUAGAGGGAGUCGUCGGGGUGGGUUGCGCCGUCGUCGUGCUUGACCACGACCGGCCGUAGGUGCCGCCGCCCGCCGCCGUGGAGGGAGUGGCUCCGGCCAUCUCCCGAGGAGCUAUCGCCGCGCACGGGUGAGUUAGGCUAUUGGGAUGCUUUCCCGACCUAGCCCCGUCGCCGGUAGGGCGCCGGCCGGCGAGCCGCGCCGCCCCCUGUCGCGCCGGUUUUGGUGGGAGGAAGAAGAAGGCGCUGGAGUCGCGGGCCCGCGCGUCAGUGAGGAAAAGGAGAGAAGGGAGAAAGGCAGGCCGGGCGCGGGCGUCAGUGGGCCAGCGUUCCGGCAGCCCAAGGAGCCGGUGUUGGUCGGCCGUUGAAGAAAAAGGCCGGAGGCCCAGAGAUCCAGCAGGCCGGCGUUGGGAGAGAAAGAGGAAAAGAAAGAUGAGCCGUUGGGCCGUCACUGGUAUAAAGAGAAGGGGUGGAGAGAAGAAUCGGCCCAGGAGGGCCCGGCCGGGGAGGAGUAGGCCGGCGGGUAGGAUGAAUAGGAAAAGGGUGGGUCCGCGCCGCGGGCCCAGUGCAAGAGAGAGGGGGUAGAAGAAGGUCGCGUGAGAAAAGUUGCCGGGGGUGUUUUUCGGGAAAAAUUAGAUUUCCUUUAUAGAAUAAUUAGUUUAAAUCCGAAUCUCACCAUUUAAAUCACAGAAAUUUCUAGGAGAGUCCAAAAUUAGUGAACCAAUUUUGUUAGGCUUGUUUUAUUUUCCUUUAUGCAUUAAAAUUUUCAUACCCUAGAAAAAUAAUAAAAAUUUGAGCAUUUAUUGAAUGCCUUUCUUUUAAGGGAUUUAAAUAAAUACUUAAUCUUUAUUAAAUGCAUAAAAUAUGGAAUAAUAUUUUCAUAACUACAAAUUAUUAUUAAUUCAUAGGAAAUUAGGUUUUAAAGCUAGAAAAUAAUUAUAAAAUUUUCUAAAAAUGAAAGAAAAGGCCUUAAGUAAGGAUAAUUAAGGAAAUAAAAAUUGUGGGCUAAUCUUUUCGGGUUUUUGUGUGUUGGCUUGCAACUUUAUCAUGAUAAAUUGUAUAGUCCUUGUUGGCUUGCAACUUUAUCAUGAAGGAAAGUUGUACAGUCUUGUAUUCAAAAAGUUGCAUUCCUAACCCCUGCAUAUGUUGUGUUAUAGAAAUCGAAGCACCAGAAGGAGAUUACUCGGAAUAUUCAGAAGGAUCUCCGGAGUUUGAGAAGUCUUUGAAUUGGUCCCCUGUGAAGCCAAUCCUUCGGACAGUGCUAACCUUUUUAGCGAACAAGGCAAGCCCCGGUGCAUUAUACCUAUUAUUUUGGAGUCAAUAUUUCACGUGUCCAUUAUUUAGCUAUUUGCUAUAUGUAUGCACUAAGUCUAGGAGUUGCUUGAAACCCAUUCUUGUGCAUUGUCAUACCUUGUUUUAAGGACAUCUUUGCCAGUUGUUCAAACCUUUAGUAGAUAACCCAAGUCUAGAAUUGCUUAGUUGCUUAAAUGCUUGGUUUACCAACCUUAAGGAAAAUCUUGAGUCAUACAUGUUAUUUAUGGAAAGAUGACUUGGAAAUUGAGAAGCGGACAGAAGCUAAGGAUGUAGUUCUGUAUGCUAGAUUAAUUUGGUUAAGGCCCGAUUCGUUGUCUUAACCUUUGAUCAAGUGAUAAUUAUCUGAUCACUUACUGGGUAUGGGACCAGUAAAGCCCAGUAGGUUAGUAAACUCUUUGAUCGGGAAUACUUCGUACCCGCGCUUGACGUGCUGGAGAUUGGCAGGGGCGUAGCCUGAAACUCACAUGGUGAUCGGGCCAGACGUGGGGUCCCAUGUGGGGGUGCGUCCCUGGGUCCGGGUAGUCUUAUUCCCAAUCAUUGGUUUUGCUAAUCGAAAAGUCGUUACGUACGACCUGGACAGUCGUAUAUAGCUGUUGAUCAAGGUACUCUCCUGCAGGAUGUAAUAUGAUCCGGAUCGCCGCAAUUCUCGGUUAUGAAUGCACUUGAUCACCGUUGAGCAUCGUAGCAUAAUUUCAUGAAUGUCAUAUCUUUCUGAUAAUGAUUGGUGUAUGACUUAAAUACCUUGUUGUCGCAAUUAAUCUUUUCUCAUCAUCUAGAAUGGUUAGGUAAAAACAUAACCCAAGUAAAAGAUAAAACUAAGGUCUCACUUGUAGUAAGCUCUUUGGCAAAAAUGUAUCAGCCAAGUACACCGAAAAAGCUAUCAUGUGCUUCCAAGAAAAACUAUUAUAUUGGUUAGUCGGGUAAGACUUGCUAAGUACUCCAUACUCAGGGUUAUCCCUUGUGGCUAUCUUUUCAGAAGCACCGCAGGAGUCCACUGAGGAGGAAGCCCCGAAACUCUAGGGUAUUGUUAUGAGUCUCACAAUACCCUUAGAAGAAGUCUCAUAAUGCUCAUCUCCAUCCGAACCGUUUAUGUUUUAAGUCCUAGAACUCUGUCUAACACUAGACUGUUAAGUUUGCUUCAAACUAUGUCUUGUAUUAACUCGUACCUCUUGUAUGUAUAUAAAAAUGUAAUAUUUGUUGAUGCUAUCCCAUCGCGGAUACAAUCCUGAUGUAUGGCUAUGAGACACGACGUGGAUCUUUUGAGGAGUCCCAGGGACACUCGACGGACGAUCGGACUUAUACUGUUUUAAGUGCGUUUCGGAUAAUUGCUGUGUCGGCAGCAAUUAGGCGCAUUUAAACCAGUUUAAGUUGGACGGUUCCGCCACAUCCGCCACCCUUCGUCCAGCACCUUUACACUUACACUUGUAUUACUUAGCUUAUGUAUGCUACAACCAACUCUUGUGUAAUCAUCUAGCAAUAUUAAAACAUGCUUAAUCAUGUCAUACUCAUGUCAUUGCAAUCAUUCAUGGUAUAUUUACUUAUCAAGCAUCAUUGCACUCAUGUAGAGAAUGAAACGCCGGAGCAAGACGAGGGUGAGCCCGAGCCGGAGCUCGUUGCCGACGACAUUUCCUUUGUGAACCAAGGUAGGAACCUAAGCAUCUCUUAACCCUAUUUUGGAUCAAUGAUGUUAUGUGUCUUGUAUGUACAUGUGUUGCUUAGCUCCUACUUGAUGAAUUAUCUAUCCUUGAUUUAGAACAACUACUUCUAGGUGAGCAUGCUUGUGUAGGUGUCACGAAUUUAAAUUGUUUAUCCAUGCUUAGCUUGGUAGAACUCGAGAGGUGGUAAGGUCACCACCACUCGCGAGUUAUAGGAUGCUUGCUUAGUUAAUACUUUAGUAACCAUGAAUGGAUUAAAAUUGAGCAACUAUGAAUGAUAAAUCAAACUUGAGCAAGAAUGGCAGGGUCAUGUUGAGAUUGAAGCUCACUUGACUUAGACUUGCUUGAGUUGAUUAAGGACCGUGACUUUGUUGUCGAGUUCUUGAGCACUAUUUUGUACAAACCACAUACUUAAUAUGGGAAUGGUAAGCCAAGAAGCAUAAGUCGCAUCUUGCUUUGACCGGAUUCAGCGCGGGAUGCGAUGAGGUGUGAUCGGCUGUGUACGGUGCAUCUAUACAUCUCCGGCCGUUCGUUCAUAGCCGGGUAUGGGUAUAUGAACAUUUGGGGGCAUUAAUCAACACUUAUCAUAGGCGAAGGGUAUGGUCAUUGGUCUUUGUUGGUAUUUCUUAACGUUACGAAUAAAUCCACAAGCGGACGAAUAUACUGUUGCAGCAUUUCACCCGAAGAGUAUUCAGGGUAUCAUUAUUUAUAUUUUCCCAAAGGAUGGCAUUGGUGUAAAAGGAUUUAUCGGAUACAUAUCCAGGAUCAUAAGCUUAAGUAAUAGAACAAACUUCAUACAGGGUAAGCUAUGAUAAAUAUUUGAGGGUAAUGUGACACACACAAGCUAAUCUCAAGAAUAAAGAAUAAAAGAAUAAACCUAAGGUUAGCGGGGGCAAGUCAUACAAGAGGUCCUAAUGGCAUCUAUCUACACUAGCAAAGGUCAUAUAAGCACAUGAUCAGAGCUAACUCUAGGGAUACAACAUUAUGGGGAGAAUACCCGACCCUGGUCUGCCAAGGCAAGGUAUCUUUCAGAACUCUAGCACCAUACCCGAACGUGGGGGACUACAAGGGACGGAAAGGAAUGUCACCACCUGCCGCCUACUCCUCUGACCGUGGGGCACAGUCAUAUUCAAUGGAUCCCAACGCACCCGAGCACCACGCUCGUACACGUGAUCACUAAUUUAGCCCCUCCGAAACCCCGACCAUGAUGAUCGACAGGCAUAGAACUAGAGCAAGCCUGAAGGUACAACGAACCGAUAUGAUAACAUAGAUUCAGUCUAAGCAUAUGAGUAUAAAUUAAUAAGGCACAAGUCAUGGCAUAAUAUACUACCGAGAUAGCAUAACAACCAAACUCUUUAUAGAUAGAACACUGACAAGUUAAGUACAAAGCCAUAUCAAGAGCCGGUGGUUACAUCCCUAACCCAUCCGAAGAAUAGCUUAGCACUACUAGAAUUUCAGCUCUAGCCUAGCUCCACUAGCCUAAGGAUUACAACAGUAGCAAGGGAGAGAGGGAGAGAGGCUUCAAGUGUGGUGUGUGUGACAGGGGAGGUCUCCUCCUCCUUUUAUAGGUAGUUGCGGGCAGUUUCCAGGAGGUAUCCAUGGGAAAUCUUCUCCCACCACCAUCCUUGGUCAACCAAGCACCGCCACGUGGAGGAUGAGGGCAGGAACCACCUAUCCAGGUUCGACCAAACUAGGGUUCGGCCAACCUUGGGCUGGGCCGGUUGGCCACCACCUUUGCGUGGUGGGCUUCCUGGUGCGCCUUGGUCCUUUUUCUCAUGGACCCACAUUGGAUUGGGCUGAUUUGCUCUGGAUGUGGGCCCUCUUAACCAUCGUGUACGUGUCAAAUGUUCUUCUAUGUGUUUCGUCUGCGUUUGCACACGUUUCCUCUCUUGUACAGACUUGUAUCCCUGAAAUCACUUAUUUUCCAAUACAUGUGGAACUAGAUUAUUGAUAACAAAUAUGCGAGUACGGAAUGUUAGUUUUCCUUCAUUCUUUGAGUAGUGUGAAUGUCGAAUUUCUGUCAUAAGGACCGUCAACAAACUCCCCCAAGCUUGCCCUUUGCUCAUCUUCAGCAAAAACUAAGACUUAGGUUUUUGAUUAGGAGUUCUUCUUUCUUCCAUGCACCAUGUGUACAACAAAGGAUUCUUCCUUGAAUUGAAUAAGUUGGCAUUGUCCACUCUUUUUACCUUAGUCCCAUGGGGCUUUUGGCCUUUCCCCUGUCUUAGGUGGUUGCAAGAUAGAAUGAUUAUAUAAAGUCACCAUUCACCUGCUCCUUGUUCAACUUUCUUUCCGAAGGUUUUUGAUAAGUUUUUGAAAAGAAAACAAGUUCCUCUUAUGAUGUUCUUGAUCACCCAACGUGUAUAGUCCUCACCAAGGCAUGAGUUGCCUCUUUUUCAUCCUACAUCUAACAGGCUUUUUGUGGGGUUUUGGGUAGCAUACUUGCAUCGCAUAAUUUUGCAAAGUCAAAGAGCGGAUCCGAGGAGGUGCAAGACAUACAAUCUGAUCAAGAAGUGCAUGUGUGUGGAAUUUUUGGUGGAAUUUUACUUGAACUCUUUUUUGCAUGACUCCCUCUUUUAUUUCUUUUGGGAUAUGGGCUAUCUGUUCUUUCUGUUUCAUCUUUUAUUUCUUAUUUCCUCUCUCUUCUCUCUCUUUUUUUUCUCUCAUGCUAUUUGAGCAUGGAUAUUUAUUUCCUUUCUCUUUUUUUUUGCAUAGCCCAUAUCUUUUGCAUGAUGAAUAGGGGGGAAUCAUGCCAUAGGGAUGGAGUAUAUUUAUGUGGGUGGAAGGCAUAUUUUUGUGUAACUUCCGGUGUAGAAGUCAGCAUGAAUAUAUGUGGAGUGUACGUGAUCUUGAUCAUGAAAGCAUGACAAGAAUCUCUCCACGUUGCUUGCACUUUGCCAGCCCGAGCCUCUAGCUUCACAUGGUCGUGGUAGUUGGUCCCAACCUGGCUAAUACCCGGGUGCAAACCUUGGCAUCUGCCCGGCUAGAACCCACCCUGCGUGGCACAUCUGCUGCAUGAUGUGCUGGGACUGCGGGGGCUAGUACUGUGAGGUAGUGGCUUCAUUCCUAGACCUGCUCCGAGUUACUCUGCUAGAAAUACUACUCCUACGAGCUUCCUCUUGUGCUAUAAGAGGAAGGGUUAGCUCCCAACACUCGUACAAAUAAAGCUCCGGGUUAGGUAACGGGAUUUCAUUUGUAUAGCCAGAGAAGAAAAUACAAGUGACUAGUUUGCAUCAUGCUUAAGAAUGUGACCUUGAAUAAGAUAUGCUUCAUCAAUAACAGUGUGGGGUGUUUGAAUGUAAGGAAAUGCAAUACCAUCUAACACCCCGACUUUGGAAGCAAUGCAAGUAAUCAAAGAGGUACACUCAAUAGGACCAGUCAUCUUGAAAUUUUCUAACCAUUGAUCAAUCAUAGGCCUAACAGGAGAAACUCUUGUUUUCUUAACCAUGGCAUAAAGAAUUUUAAGCUCAUCAUUACGAAUAGGCUGAACAUUUUCCCUAGGGAAAAUCGAUAAAGCAAGCCACUUAUGCAUCAACCUCAAAGUAGGAUUAUGAAUUUCAUUACAGCGAGGAGAAAACUUGCCAACAAUGACUUGACCAAAAAUGCUUGUCCAUAAGGAAUGGCGAUUAAAAUCGUGGAUAGCUUUGUCAAAGUUGAUUAAGCACUUCUUAUGAAAACCAAGCAAUAGACUUAGGUUUUUCCAAGAUAGCUCAUACUUUUCUUCGAAGAGAUGGAAGGAAAUACCAUCGUCUUUUUGCAAGGUGCAUAAGAAUUGGAUGGUGAGGAGGUGGGAACCUUCCUCCGAAAUGGGUACAAAAUCAUCCCAUCCAACUACAUGCCAAAUGUUAGCAAAAUCGACAUCCAUACCUAUGUUCUCAAGAAGCUCGGAGUCAAAUGCUCGAGAUGAAGACUUGGCCUUUGAUGAGAGCGUAGGCUUGUGCUUCUCUAUCGCCAUGUAGGUCGGGUUGAAGUUCUUCAACCUCCAUGGCUUGUGGUUCGGAUUGCUCUUCUUGCGGUACCUCCUCCUCCCGUAUUGGGCUUGAUGUGUAGUCGUUGGAGUGGUGCAUGCUUGCGCUUCCACGGGAGCGGCUUGAGCUCGAUCCCGUCACCUUAUUGUAUGCGCCGAAGAGCUUUCGUCCAACUCCUUUCAUGGUGGAUGGAGAAAAACACAACUUGCACACAUGUUACGUUAGUGAAAUCAAAAUGAACUCUUACCCAUGAGUAGCUCCACUAAGGUUGUCGAUUCUUGUAGCAAAGAUAAUGAGAGAGAGAGAGAGAGGUUUCUUGCACUUGAACUUGAGCAAGAACUUGAAGAAAUCCCAAGAGCAAAGAAAGGGGAAGAGAUGAGUGAAUGAAAGUGUUGAUGGAUGAACAACACCCUCCUCUCGGCCUCUAUUUAUAGGGCAAAACCGCCGGGCCAUUGGGAACCGACCAAGGGCAAUGGCUAGGAGCCAUUGGACUCGGUGGGGCCCAGGAGCUGUUGGGCCUAGUUUGGCCGAACCAACGGCUCGGCCGACCCCUAGUGGGCCCCACUAGCUGCCAGCUUUGGCUCAUGGCUUCCCAAUGGCUUUAUGGUGACAUAGUGGGGAGGCCCGGCCAAAGUUUGCUGCUCAGAAAUAAUUUUUCAAAGUAUUUUGCUCAAGUUAUUUUGUUACUUUUGAAUUUCAAAAAGUUUUUAUGAAAGGGAAAAAGGGCUAGAAUAAAUUCUAGCAUGAAAAUGUAAUUUUGGGAAAUUAAAUAUGCAAUUGGAAAAACCAAAUAAAGGAAAUCCAAAUUUUGAAAAUUUAAAUAUGAGAUAACUAUUGAUUUAUCUUCGGCAAGGGCUCACCAUUUUAAGUCCUUUGAGUGGGACUUCCUCCGUAGCGUUUGAGCUUGUGGAUGGGGCAUCCAGUCCAGGAGAAGAUGACGCGGAUGACUGUACGUCCUUCACCUUCCAUACCUUCACGUAGGACAUUGGUUUUGCCCAACGGGAAGAAUUUAGCAAGGAACGCCGUGGAGCACUUUGCCCAUGUGUUGACAACAUCCUUGUCCUUGUAGAACCACUGUUUUGCUCUCCUGAGGAGGGAGAACAGGAAUAGGUGGAGUCUAAUGGCAUCUUGAGUGACUCCCCUCAUUGCGACGGUGUCACAAAGGCCAAGGAAGUGUUGGAGAUGUGUGUUGGCAUCCUCGUUCGGCUUGCCAUAGAAGGGGCUAGCCUGCACCAUGUUGAUGAGGUUCAUCUUUAGCUCGAAGUUCAUUUCUCCCAAGUCAACAGCGGGGCCAGUGGCCACAUUGUUAGUGGAGGGGAUGGAGAACUCGUGAAGAGUAUUUUCAGCCAUAGCCUUAGGAGCAGAUGGUGCUAGAAUGAUUUGUUUGGUUGCUGAAAGAGCGAUUUGAGGAGGGACGACACGAGGUUGGACCCUUCUCAUAAGACGCUCUGGAUUCUCGAUGAAGUUGGUCGGCAAGUCGAAACCGGUCAUACACUACCCUAUUUUCAUCCAUCAGGAGAAAAGAAAGACAAGUUAGCCUGUAUAAGCAAUGGCUAUUCCUUAACCAUAUAACCAAGAACAUGUAUUGAUAAAUAUUUUAACCAAUGUCAUCCUCGGCAAUGGUGCCAGAAAUGCUUGUCGGUAUUUCUUAACGUUACAAAUAAAUCCACAAGCGCACGGAUAUACUGUUGUAGCAUUUCAACCGGAGAGUAUUCAGGGUAUCAUUAUUUAUAUUUUCCCAAAGAAUGGCAUUGGUGUAAAAGGAUUUAUCGGAUAUAUAUCCAAGAUCAUAAGCUAAAGUAAUAGACCAAAGUUCAUACAGGGGUAAGCCAUGAUAAAUAUUUGAGGGUAAUGUGAUACACACAAGCCAAUCUCAAGAAUAAAGAAUAAAAGAAUAAACCUAAGGUUAGCAGGAGCAAUGCAUACAAGAGUUCCUAAUGGCAUCUAUCUAUACUAGCAAAGGUCAUACAAGCACAUGAUCAGAGCUAACUCUAGGCAUACAACAUUACGGGGAGGAUACCCGGCCCUGGUCUGCCAAGGCAAGGUAUCUUUCAGAACUUCUAUUGAUCGAAGAAAAAUUCCAUUAUCAGCCCUGGUCUGCCAAGGCAAGGUAUCUUUCAGAACUCCAGCACCAUACCCGAAUGUGGGGGACUACAAGGGACGGACAGGGCUGUCACCACCUGCCGCCUACCCAUCCGACCGUGGGGCAUAGUCAUAUUCAAUGGAUCCCAACGCACCCGAGCACCACGCUCGUACAUGUAAUCACUACUUUAGCCCCUCCGAAACCCCGACCAUGAUGAUCGACAGGCAUAGAACUAGAGCAAGCCUGAAGACACAACGAACCGAUGCAAUAACUUAGAUUCAGCCUAAGCAUAUGAGUAUAACUUAAUAGGGCACAAGUCAUGGCAUAAAAUACUACCAAGAUAGCAUAACAACCCAACUCUUUAUAGAUAGAACACUGACAAGUUAAGUAUAAAGCCAUACCUAGAGCUGGAGGUUACAUCCCUAACCGACCCGAAGAAUAGCUUAGCACUACUAGAAUUUCAGCUCUAGCCUAGCUCCACUAGCCUAAGGAUUACAAGAGUAGCAAGAGAGAGAGGGAGAGAGGCUUCAAGUGUGGUGUGUGUGCGAGGGGAGGUCUCCUCCUCCUUUUAUAGGUAGUUGAGGGCGGUUCCCGGGAGGUAUCCAUGGGAAAUCUUCUCCCACCGCCAUCCUUGGUAAACUAGGCACUGCCACGUGGAGGAUGAGGGCGGGAACCGCCUGUCCAGAUUCGAUCGAACCUGCGGUUCGGCCAACCCUGGGCUAGGCCGGUUCCCCACCGCCUUUGCGUGGUGCGCUGCUUGGUGGGCCUUGGUCCUUUUCUUCGUGGACCCACGCUGGAUUGGGCUGAUUUGCUCUGGAUGUGGGCCCUCUUAACUAUCGUGUAUGCGUCAAGUAUUCUUCUGUGUGUUUCAUCCAUGUUUGCACAUGUUUCCUCUCUUGUACAGACUUGUAUCCCUGAAAUCACUUAUUUGCCAAUACAUAUGGAACUAGGUUAUUGAUAACAAAUAUGCGAGUAAGGAAUGUUAGUUUUCCUUUAUUAUUUGAGUAGUGUGACAGUCAAAUUUCUAUCAUAUAGACCGUCAACAAUCUUGCGCCUCGUGUGAGAAAAGUUGUACACUCUUGCAGGGUUAAAAUCUAUUGCAAUAGCUACGCUCUUGGUCAUUGAGCAUGCUCUUGAUACCCCCUUUCAUAGUAGAGUUAUCAGAUAGAGUUCAUGGAAGAGUGUGCUCAAGAUCAUGAUUCCAUUUACUUAUUGCAAUUACUUGAUGCUUGACUUUGAGAUCAUAGAAUGCUAUGUAUUUUGCUUAUUAUAACUUGAUCAAAUGUAGAUGCUUUUAUGCAAAUUUAAUUACUAAUACCAUUCCUUGAUACUUAACCAAAUGCAUUCUCCUUAAGUGUCGGGCAAGUAUAUACCCAUACUUGGAUAAGACAUGCGAAGCACCUUUUGUACUCACGGUGCUGCCAUUAAGUUAUUGCAGGUGAUCCGCAGCCGAAGGCAUCUUUGGGUACUUCUACCCUACAGAUGGAGGUGCGGGUGAGAAGUAGAUGGCUAUGGCUAGAAGAAGGGCACUAUUGGCAUAUAGUGUGAACCUCCUUAUUUUAUGUUGUAUCGUAUGAGGGCGAUGAUAAAACUUUCAGCUACAAACUCUAUGAACUUGUUAUGUAUGUGAACUUGAACAUCUUUUAGGCAAUGUGAUUGACUAUGUAUGUAUUGCUAUAUGGUGAUGAUGUUUAUAUUGUUGUGCAUGUGACGUGUGUAUAAAUCCUGGCCAAUAAUUGUGACACAUCUCAAGGACGACCGAAAUCAUUCUUAUUUGAUUGAGUUGGUCAAUGGUGAUGACUCGAUUAAAUGAGUAUAGUUUGGAGGUUCUUCACAAGGAUCACAAUGGGUUGGCUCCAGCAUGGCCAGGAAUGCUCAUGGACAGGGCCAACGGUCUCUCUGUCAAUAGAAAUAUUAUUCAAACACUUUGAAGCUGUGUAUAUACGCAGAGUAAAAAACAAUCGUUAUAUUGAUAUCUUCUUCUCGUAUUGAUAUUGGACACGUCAAUGAAAGAAAAAGAUACGAAUGAAUUAGUCCCGUGAAGCAUUUUCAUAUAUUGCAAAGAAAGAAAUUAAUUAAUUCCAUAAUGUUAAAGUUCUUCAUGCAUGAGUUGCAUUCCAGAAACCAUGUUAAUGCUUGAAUUUGCAAUUCUUAACCAAAUAGAGUAGUUACCAUACUAGUUUUUUUCACUAACCCAUUGUUACAAGUAUGGCAAGUUUCAUGAGGCCAGGCCCAACGGGCCAUGCUGUCUGGGAGUGCCCCCCCCCCCCCGGCGUCCACCACGCAUGCUCGAAAGCUCCAUGUCACAAGUGAUGGUGGCUUUGCAAAGGCAUAAAGUAGAUUGGAGAGGGAGCAUUUGCUUCAUCUGAAAAAAGCUGGAAGUAAUCCUUAAGGUCUCCUCCAACAAUAACACAUCACCUAGCUCAUAGGAGUCCACCUCAUCAUUUUGCUUACAUGGAAGAGAGAGAAUGUGGGGAGAGAGAGUGUGCUAUCUCUUCUUCAAGAGAUAGCUCCACUACUGGGGAAGUGAACUUUAGUACCAGUCAGUAACCCCCUUUAGUACUGGACGCCUGAUCAGUACCGCUUGUUCGGUACUAAAUGCCACGCCAUUUAGUACCGGCCAAAAUGCCCGGUACUAAAUGCGCCAUUUAGUACCGGUCGGUGUUACCGAUAGGUACUAAACAGCUUUGCGCCCAAAAAAUAAGGAAAAAAAUUGACGAACAGCUGGGAGGUCCCCGCACACGCAAGUCACAAGUCACGCGUAAUAUGCGCGUGCGCGGUCCGUGGGAUUCGAACCCAUGACCUCAAGCCUCGUGCGAACAUUCCUUACCAUCUCACCUACACAACACAUGUAAUUGAGUUAGAUAGGCUUUUCUUUUGAAGUAACAUGUGGAGAGGCCUUUAGUACCAGUCAAUAACAUCGACCCAUUUAGUACGGGUCGAUGUUAUGGACCGGUACUAAAUGGUACUCCGUGGGGUACUAGUGUUAUUGCUUGGUACUAAAUGGUCGAUGCCUUUUAGUACUAGGCAAUAACACCGACCGAUAUUAAAUGUCACCAUUUAGUACCAGUUGGUGUUAUUGCCCAGUACUAAAAGGCCUCUAAGGACCGAAAAUUUCUACCCAGUACUAACGUCAAGACGAAUGCUCAUAUUUCUAGUAGUGCUCAUAGAGAGAAGUGGGCUUCAUAUUUUAUUAAUGUGAGAGAGAUUGUGGGACCUAAAAUGCUUUGAACAAUAUGCUCUAGGAUAGAUCAUUGGCGAAGUAAUCUCUUUGCUAUCUCUUUUACGAUGUGGAUAUGCUUAGAGCUAGUGUACUAGCUCAACCAUUGGAGAAGAAGUCUAAGCAUUACGGAUAUUUAUCCAUUUUCUUGAAAAAAUCCCUAAGCAUCGCGUUAGACCGAACUAGGCACCCAAUGGAAGUCUAGAAUUGAACAAAAAGGUGAAAGUAGACUUUUCCAAGGUACAUAAGUGGUGGGACCAUGACAAAAGCAUGAGCGUUUGCAGGUUGGUCAGCUACCUUUUUUGAGACCAGUGUCUUUUGCCCUUGGCCUGUCCUAAUCCACCACGUAGGGAACUCUCACAGCCCUAGACUAGGAGCCAACCUUGUCCUACUUAAAGUGUAGUGAGAAAAGAGCAUGAUUUAGUCUCUAACAUUUCUACUUUGUAGACCAAAGGCAAUCACGCCCAACUUUAUUGAAAGCCCAACAAGUAAGAUUACACAUCGACUGAUUACUGGGGUUACCAGUUUACAGACAAGGUGUUUUAAACUAAAGCAACUAUCUUCCCAGAAACAAGGACAAAAGCAUAUCCCUCUACUCAAACUUGCUAUCUCUACCAGCCAACUAGAGGAAAUUUGAAAACAGAGCACCUAACAUACAGUUUGGAGAGUGCUCUACAUUUCAAAAGACACUCACAGGUACACAGUAGAGUUUUUAUUCAAGCAAGACCAGAACAUGCUUCAGUUAGCUUGUUGAUCACCCCCUCCAUCUUCUCCAGAUCUUUGGUCUUGGACAGUGGCUUCCACUGCAGCAGGAAAGACUUUAUUCUGCGAGACACCACCAUGGGCGACGUGACGACCUUGUUAUUGAAGACCAGUCAUUCCUAGUUUUCCACAGCGCCCACAUGGCCCCUACACACACAAAAAGAAAUAGUUGUCUAGAUUUGGUUCUCAUGUCUCUCAUUAUCUCUUCUGUUAAAUCUGAGCAGAAUUAUGAUGUUUUGCACAGGCAUAGCAUUUCUUUGAUAAAGGUCCACAGAAAGGCCGCAAUAGGGCAUUGGAAGAUUAUGUGAUUAGUAGAUUCCACCUCUUCACAUAGUUUAUAUUUUUCUAGUCCAGACCAAUCUCUUUUCUUGAGCUGGACCACCGAUUGGAUUCUAUCAUGGAAGACCAUCCACAUAAAGAUUUGGAUUUUCAUAGGCACUCUACACUUCCAAAUAUCUAUUGCUAGGGUAUCCACUACUCCCCCAAAGGUCAUAGCCCUGUAUAGGGAUUUUGUUGUAUAUUUACCAGAUUUCUCAAGAGCCCAACCCAUAUCAUCUGUACUCUUAACCAGCUCAACAUCAUUCAACAUCUCUAUAUCUGUAGCUCCUCUUCAUUUAGAGAUCUCCUAAACUGAAUCUGCCACACACCCUGCCUCUUGGCAUCUUUCACUGUGAUGUCUGAUUUUGAGCAAAACUUGUAUAGGGAGUCGAAUUAUAUUUUCGAGGGACAUUCCCCCACCCAAGCAUACUCCCAUGAUCUAGUUUGCUCACCCCCAUUCACCUUCAUAACUCUUCACCAUUGGAACCAUUGUCUUAUCCCCAUCAGCCCUCUCCAGAAUUAGGAGCCACCCAGGAUCUUAAGUUGAAAGUUACUUUUCUGCCCUAGAUAUUUUUGUCUAAGCAAUUCUAUACACAUGCUGUUAUCACCUUUUUCCAACCUGUCUAUUCAUUUAGCUAGCAAGCAAACAUUCAUACCUCUAGCAUCCAGAAAUCCAAAUCCACCGAAGUCUUUCAGUCUGCUCAGCGCUUCCCAUUUUACCAUAUGGUAUUUCCUUUUCUUGCUGGUCCCCUGCCAAAACAAAUUGGAUCUGAUAGAGUCUAAGGCUUGAUAGUUGCCUUCAUACAAGGAGGAGACACCCAUUGUGUACAUAGGAAUACUGGGAAGGCAUGAAUUCAUGAGAACAGAUAUUCCACCAGAGGAUAGGGUGUCACAUUUCCAAGUACCCAGUCUUUCUUUUUGCUUUUUUAGUUACAUACCUCUAACAUUUUUGCUUUGCUUUUUGGAACACUUUGAAUUCAUGAUUUUGUCUUCAAGACAUCACCACAAACAAAAAUAAUAACAUCUUGUAGUUGAGUGCGGUGGAUAUUUCAAAAUGUCCUUUCGUGCUCUUGGCAUGUGCACUCAAACUUUCAACUCGAUGUUCUUCACCAAUAUUUCCACCAUAUCGUAGCUAGUGUACCUCGAUCCAGCUUGUAGGGGUGAUUAGGGGCCAGAUCAAGGCCUUUAAUCAAUGAACUGUUCCUAUAGAUGCAGAUUAGGGGCACCGCUUGAGGGACCCCUGGAUCCGCCAGCAGAGAGGAGCAGGCCUGUCGGGCCUCGUCCUUGGCUCCUUGCUGCUAGCACGGCCGUGCGCAGAGGAUCUAAAACGUAGGGUCCUUGUCGAGCUUGAAGUGCGGCACCUCUAGGGACACCUCCGGAGGAGAAGAGGGGCCGCGCGGCCUCUUGCACAGGGGCAUCGAUGGAGGAGCUUGCUUGGCCCUGAUAGCAGAAGCACCGCCGUUGCUGGGAGAGGAGGGGGACCGGAGAGGACUGUCGCCAACAAGCAGUGUUGCCGGGAGGAGAGGAGGGCUCCGGAGAGAGUCGCGCCGGAGUGGGGAGGGUGGCCGCCGAUGACCAAACGCUGGGGCUGCGCCAUCGCUGGCCCAACUCAAAGGCGCGCGAACCCUAGCCUCCCGCGUCCGCCUCUGCUAUCUAAUGCGAGGAAAGAAAGACAUGACCAGUGGCAGGUGGGUAAUUUUUGAUGAAAAAAUCAACUUCACAACCGGUGGAAGCAGGGGAGAUGGGCUGUGUGAAUUGAACUAGCUGAAAGCUAUUUUGGUUGUGGCUUUGGGUGGAAGCCAACUCUUUUGGUUGGCUUUUGGCUUUUUGAGAAGCCACAACAGGUUGAAAAGCUCAACCAAAGGGACCCUAAAGAUCACUGGGGGUACAAGGAAGUGAUAUGGUUGCUCAGAAGAUGAAGAGUCUAUUGAAGAAACUAACUUUACAAAGCCCAAGGCAAGUCUCGGAGCAUCUAAACCUAAUGCUUUUGGAAUUCAUUAUCGGGAGUCCAAAUUAUUGGUAUUCAUGCAUUGUGUUUAGGAGUUGAAUAAAAACUUACAAUCUUGAUUAGUUAGAACAUCUUUGCCAUCUAUUUAAGUAACUAGUAAUAUCAUAUGCUUAACACUUCUUAGUUAUGCAACCUUUUUUAGUAACUUUUGUUGAUCAAUAACCUAAGGUAAUACUUAUACACAUUUGAAUUUCCUUGAAUCAAGGAAAUGGCCUGUUUUGCAAAGUGAGGACGGACGAAUGGAAUCAAGAAAGUAGUUUUGAAUUUCGUAGUUCUGUCUACUGUGAAUAAUCUGAUAAGGCACAUCCGUUGUUUUAACUGUUGACCAAGUGAAACUACCUUGUUACAUACUCGGAUUGGAAACCAGGUUAGCUUGCUCUUAAUGUGGAAAUAUACUUACCCUACUGGGCGUGGGUGUAUAGCGGGGGCGUAGCCUGAAACUCACAUGGUAUCCUGGGGUCCCAUGUGGGGGUGCGUUCCCGGGUUCGAUAAGUAUAAUUCCAGUCUUUGGGUAUGGCUAAUCGAAAGGCCAUUUGCGUGUAGUCUAAUGAACUAUGUGUGUCUUGUGGUUAGUUAUCUCUUGCAGGAUGUAAAUCGGUCCGGAUCGCCGCAAUUCUUGGUUAUGAAUGUCACUUGAUCACGAUUAAGCAUCGUAGUGUAACAAGUUGAAUAUUAUUUGUUUCCUCGAAUUAAAUUUUUCUGUGCGAUGUGUAGUACCACUUCUUUGAGCAAAAUGUUUUAUUCACAUAGUGUGGUUAGGGAAAAAAUAAAUUGAUGAUAAAAUAAUAAAAAUAUAGGUUCCACUAUUAAUAAGCCUUUUUGCAAAAUGUUGAGUCAGCUAGUCCGCUAUAAAGCCUCGCAUGCUCCUUGAAGUCUUAUUUAUUUUAUACUGGUUAGUCAGGUUAAUUUUGCGGAGUACCUUUGUAAUCAAGGGAUCCUUUUAACUUGUUUUCAGAAGCUCGACAACAAUCUGCCGCGGAGGAGAACCUAAGUGUUGUGGGAUUUGGCUGUAGAUGUAUAAUUAAGUUUAUAACAAUACUAUCCCUGGCUUGUUUAGUUUGAAAACUUCUUAGAAUGACUUGACUUGCACUUAAAUUUGUUUCAAGUUUGUAAUAAUUCGUAUAUCUGAGACUAUUUAUGUAAAAAUGUAGAAGCGAUCCUGAUGUAUGGUUGAGAUAAAGGUUGUAAGUGGAUGAUUUGGGUUGUAAGUCGAUGAUCCCGAGGACAUUUGAUGGAUUGCUGGAUUUAAACCGUUUUAAGUGCGUUUAUGCGCAGUUACUGUUUUGAUAGUGAUUAUGCGCACUUAAGCCAAUUUAAAUUGAAUGGAUCCGCCACAUGUACAUACUAAAAGAUAACUGAGUUGGAUGGAUCGGGAAUAUCUUAGAUCUUUGAACUAACAUGGGCUCACCUACAUUUGAGAUUCUUUUUCUAAUUUUGAAGUUGUUUUCGUGGAUUUUUUUGUUUUUCGUUGUAUAGCAUCUUUUUACGACUCUUCCUACAUUUAAAGUUGAACUGCAGUAUUUCAAAAAAAAGUUGAACUGCAAAAAAUUAAAAACAAAACUGCAUGUGACCGUUAGACAGUCAGCAAGCCGCAGCAAGGCCAUAAAUGGCAGCCGCGCCACUUCCCCACUGACAGCGGCACAGCCGCACAGCCCACCAAGCUAACCAAUACGAGGAAACCAUGGGAUAUUUAAGUAUUUGCCACCGUUGCAAAUGGCACUCCUUCAUUUGCCACUUUUACGGGAGCUUCUACUAUUUUGCCAUCGCGAAUGAAAUGAAGCAACUGAUUUGCCAUUUUUGCUGACGUGGCACGCCACGUCCCCGCGACAGCGUGUGUUAGGGGUGCCAAAAGACCGGGAUGCCCUCGUCGUUCUCCUCCGUUACCCCACCGGCUAACAGACCCGACGCCAUCCCCUUCCCUGUCUCCCCCCACUUCUCCCCUUCUCCCCCCAGGCCUCCCUCCUCCCUGCCUCCCCGACGAAAAACCUAGAUCUAGAGCGGCGGCGGCGGCGACUGAGGCGGCGGAGGCCAUCCAUCUCCCAUUCCCCAUCUCCCCCGUUCCCCAUCUCCCCUCUUCCCCAUCUCCCCCCUUCCUUCCCUGCGCAGUGGGUCACCAGCGCCCCCCCCCCCCCCCCGCUAGUCUUCCCUUCUUCCCCCAUCCGCCACGCGCAAGCCAUGUAGCAGGUUGGAGCGUCAUCAAGUGUGAGGAGGCCGGUUGUAGAUGCUCUUGUCGGUGAGGAGACGGGCUUACCUUUGAUCCAGUGCCCUUUGUGCCGUAGGGCACGGGUAGUUGAGCGGCGCACACAGCAAGAUUCGGUGAACUACGGUAGGAUAUACAUAAAAUGUCCAAGGAAUGAUAGAUGGGUGAGUUUGAUGUCGGUUUUUUAGUUUCGGCAUUUGCAUUUGAUGCUAGACUCUUUUUGUUGACUUGAUGUUCAGAUUGCAAAUAAAUGUGAGUACUACAGGUGGCAAAGGUUUUAUUUCAAAGAUUUGGUUGAUGCCAAGGUGAUUGAAGUGCUUAAUUGUGGGAAAGUUGAUGACCAAGUUGAUGACCAAGAAGUUGAGUCCAUGGGGCGUGCAGAGAGGGCAGUUGCAAGUUUGAAAUUUGAGAAGGAAGCUAUGGAGGCCAAGCUGGAUAAAAUGAUGAAUGCCUUAUUGCUGUUGACUGUGUUGCUUGUAGGAUUUAUGGGUGUUGUUGUUGGGAACAUGUUGAAGUAGUAGAAACAUUUGUGUUGUUGUUGUUGUUGGACUCAUUUUGUAUUGUGUCUUGGUGUAAUCAAUGAAAAAUGACUUUUGUUUUUGGAUCACUGUGUUCAUUCCUGAAUUUCAUUCAUGGCCAACAGAUAUUGUUCAUGGCAAACAAAUACAGUUGACAACCAAAUAGGUCAUGGCAGACAGAUACAUCUUCAUUGCCAACAGAAUUUGUCCAUGAGCAAUGGCCGAGCAAUAUAGUUCAUGUCAAACAGAUAUACUUGACAGCCAAAUAGACAUUGUUGAUAGGGUUACAGAUAGUUCAUGGCCAAACACAAGAGCAUAGUUCAUGGCCAACACAAGAGCAUAGUUCAUGGCGUCAGAAAAGCAUAAUUCAUGGCCAAACAUGACAGACAUUGUUCAUGGCCAAAGACACAGACAUAGUUCAUGGCCAAAGACACAGACAUAGUUCAUGGCCAACAGAAAAGCAUAAUUCAUGGCCAAACAUGACAGACAUUGUUCAUGGCCAAAGACACAGACAUUGUUCAUGGCCUAACAAACAAAAGUGACACACAGACAUUGUUGGACUCAUUUCUUUGGCGUCUUCUUCACUUUGGUCGCCAGCACCUUCCUUGGGGUCAUCUUCUUGGCAACUUUUAGUGCUGCUGGUGCCACCACUUCUAAUGGUACAGGUUCAAAAUCAGCAGCUUCUUCAGCAGGUGGGUCUGGUGGUGCCUCCAAAGCAAGUCUCCUGUGUAAUGUAAGAGGCUCUUAGCUGCUGCAGUACACAUAUUAUUGAAAAUGUUGUUGUGUAGAUGCAAUACCAACCUCUUAGUCCUGGAUGCUGCUGCUUGCAGAUGUUGUUGUGCCUGAGCUGCAGCUUCAGCUUCUUCCCUAGCUGCUUUCCUAGCUGCUUUCCUUGCUGAUGCUGCUGCAAUUGCUUCAGCCUCUUCCCUAGCUGCUGCAGCUCUUGUCCUUGGUGUCCUUUGUGGUGGAACUGGGUCUGGUUCAGCAGCUUCUUCAUGGUUGUCAUGGUUGGCCUUCUUCCUUCCUGGCUUCACUGCUGCUUUCUUGGUCCUCUUCCUGUAAAAUAAGAUUAGUAGUUAGUCAUGGCAAUAUUAGAGCACAAACAAAUGAUUGGCUUAGUACAUACCUUUUCUUGGUCCCAGUGAGCCCACAGUGCCUGCUGCCCUUCCUGUGACCCUUUUCACCACAGGCUGCACAUAUGGAUUGCCUAGUAGGCUUACCUGACCUCUCCAAGCAAGAGGGAAUUCUGUUCUUCCUCUGCCUACCAAUGCCUCUCUUCUUCCCUAUAGGUGGCAAUAGUUUGAAGUCCUUUGCAACUUCAGGCCAUUGACUCCUAUCUGUGAUGUUAGGCCACCCAGCAUCAUAUGCUUGUCUAAAUCUUUGUACAGAAUAUGCCAUGUCCACAAACUUUUCAUAAUCUGGCUGCCUCACAGUGGUUAUAACAGCCAAUGCAUGGGGGCAAGGCUUACCAGUAACCUGCCAUUCUCUACAUGUACAGCUCUGUUCAUUGAGAUAGACCACAUGUCUUCUUACUUCCUCAUCCUUGUAUAUCUCAGUCACCUCAGCUUGAUGUGGCAGUCCUUUGGUGACCUUUAAGUGUCCUAUCCCCUUUGAGGCAGCAUUAAGUUGAUGAAUCACAGCAGGGAGAAUAACUCCAUUUAAAGCUCUCCCAAUCCUCCUCCUCCUUUCAAACAUGACCACACCUUUCUCUCUGAUAGCAUCUACCAGACAGUGUAGUGGCAGGUCCUUGAAUUCUUUGAUCCAUGCAUUCCAAGACUCAGCCAAAUUGUUCAAGAUGUAGUCACAUUUGAUGUCUGGAGAGAACUUGGAUCUGGCCCACAACAGAUUAUGGUGCUCUUCUAACCAUUUUCCUACCUCAGGGCUAGCUUCCAAGACUUUACUCAUAAAAUAAUUGUGCUUUCCAGCUGAGUAAGCUCUUGCAGCAGGCCACAUGUUUUCAGCAUAUACAUUUCCUGUAAACUUCUUCUUCAUGUUUUCCAUCAAGUGCCUAAAACAUUCCCUCUGUUUAGCCCAUGGAAAAACAUGCUUGACAGCAGAUUCUAGGCCCUUGCAAGCAUCAGUACAAAUAGCCAUUCUUGGAAGUACCCCAAUGGCCUUGCCUAACUGCUCCAUGAACCAAAUCCAAUUGUCCUUGGUCUCUGAAUCAAAAAACCCAAAGGCCAAAGGGAACAUCCAAUUAUGACCAUCUAAAGCUAAGGCUGCAGGCAUAUGUCCAUUCCACUGCCCAUUCAAAGCUGUGGAGUCUAUACUAAUGUAAGGUCUGCACCCAUACAAGAACCCAUCUAUACUACCUCUGAAAGCACAAAAAAAUCUAUUGAAAUGGUGCUUCUCUCCAACUUUGACAGUAUCUAUCUCAACUACACUACCAGGCUGCCUCAACUCCACUUCUGCCUUAAACCUAUACAACCAAUCAAAUGAAUCAUCCCACUUACCAAAUAAUUUGUCAGCUGCUCUCUGCCUACCAUACCAAACUGUCUGGUAGUUGAUCUUAAUCUUGUACUUGUCCUCCAAUGCUUCCUUCACAUCUGCAGCACCCAUUCCAGGCUUCCUCUUGAGCAAAGGUAUGGCCCUCUCAGCCACCCAUGCUUGAUUGGCCAUUCUGCCCAGCACUCUGCUUCUUGAAGCACACUUAUGAAGCUCAUUGUUUAUUUGGACCUGCAGGACAUAAAGAUUUGUUAGCUCAAGAUCAAACAAAUAGUAAGGCUAAGUUAGUCAAACAUUACAACACAUGUAAGUUAGUAAAUGUACCCUGACAGAACCAUCAGCUUUUGUUCUAGCUCUAAUAACCCAUGGACACCCUUUAGCCAAGCAAUGCCCCCUGAAUCUUUCUUUGUCUGACUUCUCAGUUCCCAGCGCAAACUCAUUGACUAUAGCAUGCUGCCUCACUGCCAAUCUGAAAUCUACCAUGUUAGGGUAGAUUGUGCCCACCCUCAUGUCUGGGUUGUCUCUAUCCCACUCAAGUAUUGGCUCUGAAGGUUCAUUGUCAUCAACAUUAAUUCCAGCCUCAUGCAUCUUUGCUUGUACAUCAGGAGGAAUGUCAGGGAUAGCAGGGUCAUCUUCUGCUGCUGCUUGUGCUGCUGCCUGAGCUGCUGCCUCAUCUGCUGCUUUGAAGCCCAUUGCCUCAUAAACCCUGUCCUCAUCAGCCAAAACAUAAGCUUCACCAUCUUGUUGAGUCUCUGGCAGUAUAGUCAGUGUACUCCAAUCAACAAUGUCUGGUUGGGCUUGCUCAUGUUGUGCUGGAGAUGUACAAUAUUCACUUGCACCUUCAUUUGUUACUCCAGAAGUCCCUACUCCAGAAUUGCCUACUGACCCUGCACAACUGUUAACAUUCUGGUACCCUUCAUUCCAUCUGUCCACAACUUCUACCCUAACAUUUGCUACUCCAACAUUCCAUCUGUGCUUAAUCAUUGACUCAAAAUGCUCAUUUUUUCUAACCUUCCACUCAUCUUCACUGUCAACAUCCACACUGACUAGAUCCCCAAUAUAUUUUGCUAGCCAUAUCAACAACAAAACUAUCCAGAUUAUACCCACUGCAUCUAUCAAACCACAGCACAUGUUCUUGUUCAUCAAUUUCUACAAUACCAGACUCCGCACAUGCCUUAUACUUUUCAACCUUAACCACUAUUCUAAAUGCAUUUCCAGGAUCAAUCCUGGUAUAAUAAUAAAAAUAACAAAAUACGGAGUUAGAGACAUCCAACUCCUCUGAGGCAAACACUUUAAGAGGGGAAGAGGGGAUGGUUUGCGGCUUACCAGGGAGGAGGCUCCAUUGUUGACCCGUUGGCGCAGGGAGGAACAACAGGAGAUGGGGAAUGGGGUAGAAGGGGAAGGGGAUGGGGAAGGGGAGAUGGAUGGCCGCCACCGCCUCCGCCGCCGCCGCCGCUCUAGACCUAGGUUUUUCGUCGGGGAGGCAGGGAGGAGGGAGGCCUGGGGGGAGAAGGGGAGAAGUGGGGGGAGACGGGGAAGGGGAUGGCGUCGGGUCUGUUAGCCGGUGGGGUAACGGAGGAGAACGACGAGGGCAUCCCGGUCUUUUGGCACCCCUAACACACGCUGUCGCGGGGACGUGGCGUGCCACGUCAGCAAAAAUGGCAAAUCAGUUGCUUCGUUUCGUUCGCGAUGGCAAAACAGUAGAAGCUCCCGUAAAAAUGGCAAAUGAAGGAGUGCCAUUUGCAACGGUGACAAAUACUUAAAUAUCCCGGAAACCAUACCGCAAAACUGAGAAGAAAAAAAAAUUGAAAAUUUCACUCCCGGCGCACGCGCCGCUUCGAAUUCCCGCACUGUCCCCUUCUCUUUCCUCUCCCCUCCCGCCCCCUCCUUGCUCUCCCGGCCGCGGACGGGCUCGCGCCCGCCCUCUCACGAAUGGCGCGGCGGCGCCGCCGUGCCUCGCGCGGCAGCGCUCCCCCGGAGCUCCGCCUGGCCUACGGCGCGCGCGCGCGCACGCUCGGCCGCGCUGUCCUCUCUCUCCUCCCGCCGCCGCCGCCGCAGGGCGCGCCCUGCCCCGCCUGCCGCGGCGGCGGCGGUGCGGGGUGCCUCGCGUGCCGCCGCUGGGCGCACCUCCUCCGCGACGGCGACCCGGUAGCGUACUGCGGCCUCGUCACCCGCGCCGUCUGCGCCGUCGCGCCCGCCGGGGCCGCGCCCCCACCGCCGCGGUACACGCCGGGGAACGCCGGGCACUCGCAGGCCAAGGUUCCGUCCGACUUGCCCUCCUCGGUCGUCUCGUCAUUCUCUUUGCAUUGCUUGCUUUGUGCCUGCAGCGCGUGGUUUUCUUGUUAUCUUGUUUGCUUUUGUUGGCUGUCUGAGAUCACCGGUUGUCUGGCUGCACGCAUGUUGCUCGACGAGUAGCUCGUUCGGGAGACGAUCAAGUCCAUCAUGGCGGAUCGGGCGUGCACAACGAAGAACAUCCUCUGCAGCGAUUGCCGGGGGGUAUGAAUGGCUCUUAAAUUCUACAGAAUGAUUCUUGCAGUUCGAUUAAUAUUUAUGACUGCCAUUGCCUUAUCCAUAUACACACAUACAGUACAGUUCUAUCUGAGUCGCACUAUUACAUAGCUCUUCCUUGUUUUUAGGAUUUCCCUUGAAUAAGUACAAGUGGUACAACCAAACCUGUCACAUUGAGCAAUCUUAAGUCUUGUUCCCUCAUGUUUAUUUCAGUAUCAUGCAGGUGUAUGUUUGUCAUUUGCAGUGCCUGACCAUGAUGCGCUGGGAAAUCCAGUUUAGGGCUUUUGCCAAAAACAUUAAGCAUCCUAGGAGCCACUACCAAUUCAUAAAAGGGUGCACUAAAGACAACCCAUAAAGCCUGAUAAACCACUAAAUGCCAUUGGUAACUUACUGCUUGUAGGUUGAAAGUUGACGUAGAGCUCCGUAUUGACAGAUAAAAAAAAAGUUCCAAACCAGGACUCUUCAAUUAAGCUUGUCCGAGUGGGUUGUCAAUAUGUGGAGAAGGCCAUAAUUUAUGUUUCAGUAGGUUUUUCUUUGUUCAUCCCAUGAUGCAAAUGUCAGCAGACAUUCUUUCAUUAUCUAAAAAGAAUGCUUUGUCAGGUUGUUUAUGUGCACAUGGUAAUGCUUUAGAUAAAUUUAAAUCGGUUUUUUCUUCAGUUAACUGUUACUACUUAUCUCUUAACCUAUUCUCUGAUUGGUCGAAUGACAUGAUUCUUUGACAUGCCUCUUUUGCUAAUUUUUCUUUAUCCUUUAUUCCUUUUAUUUACAAUCAAAAUCCUUAUUCGUAUCAGGGUGGCCAGACUGGAUGUGUCAGUGAGCUUGUUUCUUCUUCGUCUUGGGAUAUUCUCUUGCAUAGGGUCAGUAACUUAGUAUAAAGGAAGUUCUCAAUGAUGAAUAAAGUUUUUAAUGUAUUUUAUUGACAUUUAUUGCUUUUUUCAGAUUGGGGAUCUACUCAUGUGCUAUAUUCUCAGGCAUUCGUCCAUAUUUUUACCUGUUAAGAAGAAUGUUUUUUUUCAAGUCACUGGCCUCCCACUCAAUGUUCUUCUGCAAAAGCCAAUAUUCACGAGUACCAUGGGAAAACACCAACAACCCCAAUCCACGAAACAAAGAUGUCCCAUGGUAAGAAAUUAUUGGUUUGUUUGGCACAGCUUUAGCUUUGAGACCCAUGCAUGGGUUAGGAGUUUGUAGUAUGAAAUAAAGUGAUUUAAACAUGUGUUUAAUACAAAAAACAACAUAUCUUCAACCAUGUACCCUCAAUAUGGUCACAGCUCUAGCUCCAAGAAAUUCAUGUAGCUGGAGCUGUGCCAAACAGGCUCUAUGAUUGUUCAAUUCAAUGCUAUGCCCUAAACAAACCAUUUAAAUCUCUCUUUCCAAAACACAAGGCUCUUAAGGUGGCAAUUAAUUUCAGUUGGCUAUCAAGCAUGCAAAUCUUGCCAUUCUGGAUUUUAGUUUAACACGUACACAGCUGAAAAGAAUGCCAAAAACAAAAGCUAACUGUUUAUAGUGACGAUUAGCUUGAUAUCCAGCUUCUGUUCCCCUCAACCAGGAUGUCUAUGGAAGUAUGCCUUCUAUGUAGGUCUGUAAUUCUGUGUACAAUUUUAUACCAAUUGAAAUUUGAACAAGAUGUAUACAUCUGUAUAGUAGUAAAAAUCAUUUUUCAUGCAUAUAUACUAGAAAAUUAUAAGAAACCAUAAUUUGCUAAUUGUGUAUACUUAUGUAAAAAGGUUAACUUAUCAAUAAAAAAGUAAUUGGUGGAUACUUAGUUUAAAUUUUUAUAGUUUCUUAACAACUCAGUUAAAGCUUGUAAGAAGUAACUGAUCUCCAUUUAUCUGCUUAACCAUCCCCAUUACUCAGCUACACGCAUAUAUUUAAUUGUUCUGCAAUAGCUGGAAUGGAAAAUGUACCUCGUUUUUUU
This 40692-nucleotide long non-coding RNA is filed under the name Setaria viridis. RNAcentral describes it as "long non-coding RNA (SVIR_LNC003472)". Lineage: Eukaryota; Viridiplantae; Streptophyta; Magnoliopsida; Poales; Poaceae. The record is from RNAcentral.